RNAcentral lists this ribosomal RNA (253 nucleotides) under uncultured bacterium. RNAcentral's name for it is "partial 16S ribosomal RNA". It matches the Rfam family "Bacterial small subunit ribosomal RNA", at positions 524 to 776 of the family's 1533-position model. The record is from RNAcentral.
UACAGAGGUCUCAAGCGUUGUUCGGAUUCAUUGGGCUUAAAGGGUGCGUAGGCGGCGCGGUAAGUCGGGUGUGAAAUCUCGGGGCUUAACUCCGAAACUGCAUUCGAUACUACCGUGCUUGAGGACUGGAGAGGAGACUGGAAUUUACGGUGUAGCGGUGAAAUGCGUAGAUAUCGUAAGGAAGACCAGUGGCGAAGGCGGGUCUCUGGACAGUUCCUGACGCUGAGGCACGAAGGCCUGGGGAGCAAACGGG